Molecule: ribosomal RNA, 253 nt
Filed under: uncultured bacterium
Lineage: Bacteria
Description: partial 16S ribosomal RNA
Rfam family: Bacterial small subunit ribosomal RNA
Source: RNAcentral
UACGUAGGGAGCAAGCGUUGUCCGGAAUCACUGGGCGUAAAGGGUGCGUAGGCGGGUCUUUAAGUCAGGGGUGAAAUCCUGGAGCUCAACUCCAGAACUGCCUUUGAUACUGAGGAUCUUGAGUUCGGGAGAGGUGAGUGGAACUGCGAGUGUAGAGGUGAAAUUCGUAGAUAUUCGCAAGAACACCAGUGGCGAAGGCGGCUCACUGGCCCGGUACUGACGCUGAGGCACGAAAGCGUGGGGAGCAAACAGG